RNAcentral lists this ribosomal RNA (253 nucleotides) under uncultured bacterium. Its description in RNAcentral is "partial 16S ribosomal RNA". It matches the Rfam family "Bacterial small subunit ribosomal RNA", at positions 524 to 776 of the family's 1533-position model. The record is from RNAcentral.
UACGGGGGGGGCAAGCGUUGUUCGGAAUUACUGGGCGUAAAGGGCUCGUAGGCGGCCAACUAAGUCGGAUGUGAAAUCCCCAGGCUCAACUUGGGAACUGCAUCCGAUACUGGAUGGCUUGAAUUCGGGAGAGGGAUGCAGAAUUCCAGGUGUAGCGGUGAAAUGCGUAGAUAUCUGGAGGAACACCGGUGGCGAAGGCGGCAUCCUGGACCAAUAUUGACGCUGAGGAGCGAAAGCCAGGGGAGCAAACGGG